GGAGGUCAAAAGAGAAAGCUGGGAGUGACCAGGUUCACUUUUCGCAACGCCAAAGUCUCCGGGAGCCUCGCUCGGGCCGUCGAAGGUCUCGUGGCCCAACAAAACAUAUCGGGACGCUAGUUAUUUGGAAUAAAUGCAAUUUAUUGUCGUUAUACACGCUGGACAGUGAGCUAGGAGAGCUUCGCGUUCAAGCAGUGGUCCCCAACCACUGAUGUAAAAAAAAAAAAAAAAAAAAAAAAAAAGACUGGAUGGCUCAUUGGCCACCACCGAAAGUGAAGUCGCCAUCCGCCAUCUUGCUACUCCCAAAACAAGCGUGCCGACCUGCGCGUUAAUCGCCAGUUUUGUGGCUGCGAGAAAACGUUCCACAGAUGAGUGUCCGGGACCGGUCCAUGGAUCAAUUGGUACCGGGCUGCAAAAUAACUAAUCAAUUAGUUGCGUUGCAAGUCUGAAAAAUCUUUUAUUUUGAAAAAUGACCGGGUUCUCCUGCUUACAUCUCGGUGACUUCAGAGGCAAAUGCGUAAGAAAUAUGUCUUUGGAAAGUUUCUUUUGAAGGGGAAAAGGUUCAGUGAACACACAAAAGAAGAGCCUACAACUUCCAAGAAAAGAAAGUUAUUAACAACAAUCAAAGCACACACGGAAAGAAGAAGUUAUCCAGAAGGAAAUCGCUCGCAAGAGUCUUUGAAUUCUGCAAAGAUUUCUCGCAGAAAAGAAGUCCCCCCCCCCGCCCCCCCCCCGGCAGCACGUUCAUCCUCUCAGCUGGAGCGCGAUCACCUGUCUUUGCUAUAAAAGAGUUCGAGCGGUACUUCCCAACCCAAAAACCUGCCAAGAAAUGCAUCCGUGACCCGUUUGUCGACAAACCAGCUGAAUCCAGCACGUCUGUGCGACAAGAAGAUCGACUGGGACCAUCUCGUUGCAGAGAAACCAGCUCAGGUGUUUGCAGUAUGACCCAGUCAUGGCACUGGCAGCGCGGCCCAUAGAAUUUUCCUGGAUCCGACGCCUGGCACGCGCACACGCCGCAGUCGCACUUGCCCCUCCCGCUGCAGAUGUUGCCGUCGGGCGUCCGGCACCGACGCAGCGAC
Long non-coding RNA from Syngnathoides biaculeatus (alligator pipefish), 1079 nucleotides. RefSeq lists it as uncharacterized. Lineage: Eukaryota; Metazoa; Chordata; Actinopteri; Syngnathiformes; Syngnathidae. The transcript has 3 exons. The record is from RefSeq and is a predicted model, not a curated record.